CAACUCUAGAGAUAGAGUCUUCCCCUUCGGGGGACAAAGUGACAGGUGGUGCAUGGUUGUCGUCAGCUCGUGUCGUGAGAUGUUGGGUUAAGUCCCGCAACGAGCGCAACCCUUAAGCUUAGUUGCCAGCAUUAAGUUGGGCACUUAAGUUGACUGCCGGUGACAAACCGGAGGAAGGUGGGGAUGACGUCAAAUCAUCAUGCCCCUUAUGAUUUGGGCUACACACGUGCUACAAUGGACAAUACAAAGGGCAGCUAAACCGCGAGGUCAUGCAAAUCCCAUAAAGUUGUUCUCAGUUCGGAUUGUAGUCUGCAACUCGACUACAUGAAGCUGGAAUCGCUAGUAAUCGUAGAUCAGCAUGCUACGGUGAAUACGUUCCCGGGUCUUGUACACACCGCCCGUCACACCACGAGAGUCUGUAACACCCGAAGCCGGUGGAGUAACCAUUUAUGGAGCUAGCCGUCGAAGGU
Molecule: ribosomal RNA, 470 nt
Filed under: Staphylococcus cohnii
Lineage: Bacteria; Bacillati; Bacillota; Bacilli; Caryophanales; Staphylococcaceae
Description: bacterial SSU rRNA
Rfam family: Bacterial small subunit ribosomal RNA
Source: RNAcentral